UAGAGCUAAUACAUGCAACCAAGCUCCGACCUUCGUGGGAAGAGCGCUCUUAUUAGACCGAGGCCAACCUGCUGGGCAACUGGCAGUUUGCUGUGGUGACUCUGAAUAAGCACAGUUGAUCGCACGACUCUACGUCGGCGACGUAUCUUUCAAGCGUAUGCCCUAUCAGCUGUCGACGGUAGGGUAGUGGCCUACCGUGGCAUCAACGGGUAACGGGGGAUCAGGGUCCGAUCCCGGAGAGUAAGCCUGAGAGACGGCUUACACAUCUAAGGAAGGCAGCAGGCGCGCAAAUUACCCAAUGGGGACACCCUGAGGUAGUGACAAGAAAUAACAAUACGCGACUCUUUCGAGGCCGCGUAAUUGGAAUGAGCACAGUCUAAAUCCUUUAGCGAGGAUCAAUUGGAGGGCAAGUCUGGUGCCAGCAGCCGCGGUAAUUCCAGCUCCAAUAGCGUAUAUUAAAGUUGCUGCAGUUAAAAAGCUCGUAGKUGACAAUCGGUGCUYGUCUCGGCGGUCCUGUUCACGCAGGCACUGCCUUGAUGGCCUCUACACACUGGCUUGAGGUCGGGCAGGCUGGGCAACUGGCGGUUCGACCAAAGCCCCGGGUGCCCUUUAUUGGGUGCCCGUGGGUGGCCUUUGCGUUUACUUUGAAGAAAUUAGAGUGUUCAAAGCGGGCUAUCUAUAGCUCGGAUACUCGUACAUGGAAUAAUGGAAUAGGACCCUGGGUCAUUUCCGUUGGUCUAUGGCCAUUGGGUAAUGAUUAAAAGGGACUGCCGGGGGCAUUGGUAUGGUGGGGGGAGAAGGUGAAAUUCCGUGAUCCUCGCCAGACCAACUACAGCGAAAGCAUUUGCCAAGAAUGUCUUCAUUAAUCAAGAACGAAAGUCAGAGGUUCGAAGACGAUCAGAUACCGUCGUAGUUCUGACCAUAAACGAUGCCAGCUUGGAAGUGGCGAUGGUUGUAUUUCAUGACCCCGCCACGGCCCGUCGGGAAACCAUAAGCGUUUGGGUUCCGGGGGAAGUAUGGUUGCAAAGCUGAAACUUAAAGGAAUUGACGGAAGGGCACCACCAGGAGUGGAGCCUGCGGCUUAAUUUGACUCAACACGGGAAAACUCACCCGGCCCGGACACUGCAAGGAUUGACAGAUUGAGAGCUCUUUCUCGAUUCGGUGGAUGGUGGUGCAUGGCCGUUCUUAGUUGGUGGAGUGAUUUGUCUGGUUAAUUCCGAUAACGAACGAGACUCUAGCCUACUAACUAGUUCGCCGAUCUGCUUCUGUGGGUCGGUAAUAAACUUCUUAGAGGGACAAGUGGCGCUUAGCCACGCGAGAUGGAGCAAUAACAGGUCUGUGAUGCCCUUAGAUGUCCGGGGCCGCACGCGCGCUACACUGAAAGAAUCAACGU
This 1393-nucleotide ribosomal RNA is filed under the name Spirobranchus bakau. Its description in RNAcentral is "SSU rRNA". The record is from RNAcentral. Lineage: Eukaryota; Metazoa; Annelida; Polychaeta; Sabellida; Serpulidae.